Molecule: long non-coding RNA, 18758 nt
Filed under: Setaria italica (foxtail millet)
Lineage: Eukaryota; Viridiplantae; Streptophyta; Magnoliopsida; Poales; Poaceae
Description: long non-coding RNA (SITA_LNC006424)
Source: RNAcentral
UCAUUGACCAAUCCAAUAUAUGAAGCUUCACCCAAUGAGAGUUUGGUGAGCCUCUUUACUGUCAGGCAGUUCCAUGCACAAAUACCCUGGCAAUUGGACAGCGCAAGCCGCUUGAGCCGCAAGUUCCGGUAUGCAUCCAGCUGCUUGAGGUCAUAGUACAGGCAGUAGCCAUCAACAACAAGCUCAAAAUCCUCAACAUCCCACUUGGCAAUGGCUGUGGUGAUCCAUUCAUCAAUAUUCUGAUGCCAACGCCCUAGCAUUUGGAGUCUCAGCUUCUGGACAGGCCGGCGUUGACGCACAUCCUUUGGAGCCAGAAGAAAUGCAUUCACCUGCUUGACAUAGCGUCGCAUGGCCCGACGCUCGUAGCGUUCUAGGAUGGCUGUGAGUGGUCUGAUCUUGGUCAUCCAACGCUCAUGCCGAGCCUUGAUGGCAUAGAUGUCAGUCAGCUUGUGCACAUUCUUCUCUGCCUCGUACGCUGCCUUAGCCUCAAUGGUAAGGCGCUUCAGGCGGUGGUAGCGUGGUGGGAGGAGGUCAUCAGCAGCGAGGUUAUAGGAUGUUGGCAAGCAUCGAGGAAGAUCACGCCAUCGCUUCGAAAGGAUGAUGGUUGUUAUUGUUGUGCGUGUGUCUAGCUUGCGGACGAUGAUGAGUAGUAUCUCCUCUGGUAAGGUGCUGAUCCUGUCCUCAUAACUGUCAUCUUUCUUGCCCAUACGAAUCUAGUUUCAUUUGUUAGAGACAUGGAAUUAUAGUCAGUGAAUGCAGAAUAUAGAAGCCACGACACCUAAGUGGGCCACUAUCUUUACAAAUAAUUAUCAAGACCACAAAUUAAGACCUCAAUCUCAUAUUACUAUUUAUUAAUAUAAAGGAAAUUGUUCCAGCCUUGGUGUUGUGGGAUGCACAAAGCCUAGAGGCGGCUACUGCACUAUUCCAAAGCUUAAGUCCAAGGCAAAUCCCAUAUUACUUCUACAGUUCCACCUAAAAAUUAUGAGCAAUUGUAUGAACAAGGUAAUGACAAGAGUAGUCCUAAAUCGACCAAAGAUACUAAACUAACAGUCCUGUAGCUAAAAUGAUCAUCUUUAUUUACAGUGUAGUCUUUUUUUUCGAGGAACAACAGUGGUACUGUAUUCCAGAGUUUGGUGGGACGGCCAAUCCAAAAUAAAAUAGAAAAAACUGGCGGCUCUGCAGUGUAAUUGAUCCAUGAUUUUGAACUUGGAUAUAAGUGCUUCAAUGGAGACCUCAUCUAUAAAUCAUGAGAAUUUCUACGAAUAGAUCGUGACAGAUCUAAAAUUUGAAGAACCGGAGAGUGACGGAGGGUGUACUCGUUUGGAGAGUGGGGAGGCGGUGGUGACAGUAGAGAGAUCUGAGGCCUUCCGAAGCCGGCGAUGGCGGCUAGGAUGCGUCUCUGAGGCCAUCGGCGAAGGCGGCGGUCGCCGGCCUGCCGGCCGGUCGGCUUGCGGAAAGGGAACGAUGGGUGGGUGCGAGCUGCGAGCUUGCGAGGGGCUUGGAGCCUUGGACGAUUGGACUUUGGACUGGGCCCGGACAGGUGUGUUUGGUUGGGGUGUGGUUUUUGGAAAAACUGCUGUGAGCUAUGAGCUGUGUAAAAGCAGCUGUAGGAAAACUAAAAGACCGUUUGGUUAGAGGAGCUGUGAAACUGUAGGCUGUAGACUGUGUAAGAAAUAUUUGUAAUACCCCUAAAGUGUGUUUAUAUGCAAAUUGCUCAUAACAAAAUAAAGUGUUCACUAAUUCGCACGUAAAUUAUUAUUUUAUUAAAAAAUAAAUUUUAUAUAUUCUUCAUCCAUUAAAAUGAUUGGUCCACAUAAAUCCAUCAAAAGUUUUAUACAAUAAUGACAUCUGUCAAUAUUAGUUGCGCAAAUACUUCGUGAAACUUCAUGUGAACCGUCCAAAGUGACCAUGUGAAAUAGUAAUCCUUUUUUUCCUCUUUUGUUACAUCUCCAAGCAAAUUAUGGUCGUCACAGAUAAAAAUGGCAACGGGUAAAACCCGCGCGGAUAUACAAACCACAAACCCGCACCCGCGACAAUAUAUCCGCGCCCGCACCCGCGCCCGCCACCCGCCACGGGCAGCACUAUGCGCCCGCGCCCGCUAUCCGCGGGCAUAUUUUGCUCGCGGGCAUGCCCACAUACCCGCCAGAAGUAUAAAUGGAUGACAUUUAACAUAUAAAUAGAUCACAACGUUCAUAAUCUCAAUUCAUCACAAUCACAAAUCACACAGCAUAGUUCAAUAGUUCACCAAUCACCACGGUCCACACAUUCAACAAUACAGUACAGGACUACAAGCCUACCAUACAACUAAUACAAGUACACAUUGUUCAACUGCAAACAGCUUAAUGAAUCAAAGAAGAUGGAUGGUUAAUCCUUCUACUGCUGUCCUUUUUCGCAGUAGUUAGAACUGUCUCUUCAUCUUUCAGAUCUUCUUCAUUGUCUUUAAGGCAUGACCAAAAGCUAUUGAACCUUCCAUCACCCUCAUCUACAUCCAAGUUCAAACAUUAGUAGCUGCAGUAUACAAUCCAUGUAUUAAUGAAAAGAAUUCAUUGUAAAUGCACAUUUUUAUACCUUUGAGGUUGUGACGAAGCCAACUUUGACUGCACAUCAAAGCUUCCAACAUUUUAGGAGUAAGACGACUGCGAUGCUCACUUAAAACCCUCCCACUAGUACUGAAAGCCGAUUCAGAAGCUACUGUGGUGAUUGGAAUAGCCAAAAUGUCACGAGCAAUUAGCCUCAAAGUAGGAUAACGAGCUCCCUCCAACUUCCACCAGCCUAGGAUAUCAAAAUAAUUAUUCUCAUCAUGAGGAAGAGUUUCCUCUUCAAAGUAGCGAUCAAGCUCAUUCUUACUUCUAACAAAGCUUGUAGUCCUCUUAUUUGCAGUAAGGGUUUUAAAUAUGGACAACACAGCAGCUGCACUAACUGUAGAGGGGGCACCAGCAGAGAAUGUAGCCACAUUGUCUUGGUAUGUCACAUGAUAAUGUUUCAUUAAACUAGUAAGUAAUUCCUGAGCCUCUGUAACAUAUUUUCCAGCAGCCUCUUCUCCAAAAAGAGCAAUAUAGCAAGCAUGUAACAUUGUCAUCUUAAGACGUGGAUCAAGAAUAACAGCAACAGCCAUAAGACCAUGGAUGUCAGCCCAAUACUUAUCAUACUUUUCUAUCAUGGCAGCAGACAUGUUCCUAAUAGUUUCAUCUUCAUCAUGACCCCAAGAGUUGAGUUUAAGUUUAAUCUCACAUACUUUAGGAAAGAACAGGUUAGCUGUAACAUAUUUUGUCCCAGAAAAUAACUCAGUAAGCUCAUAGAAUAUCCCUAAUUUCUCACAAACAUUAGUAGCAAAUGUCCAAUCAUCUGCUGCUGGACAAUCAUAGUUCCUAUCGAGCUCACCCAAACGUUCAAAAACCUUCCUAUAAGGUAUAGCAAUGCUAAGCAUGAUGUAGGUUGAGUUCCAUCUAGUUUUGCAGUCUAAAUGCAACUUCUUGUCCAAUUCAACAUUUUCAUCUAGAGCAGUUUUCUCAAACUUUUCGUACCUUUUUGGAGUAGCAAUCCAAUAAGCAACACUUUCUCGGAUGUGCGCAACUGCAGUUCCAAUUACUACCAUGCCAUCUUUCACAAUGAGGUUGAGAAUAUGUGCACAACACCGCAUGUGCAGCCAUUUUCCUUUCAAUAGCAUAUUAGCCGCCCCAAGCCUUGUGUCCAUUAAGCCAAUCAUGUUAUCAUUGGCACUGCAAUUGUCAAGAGUCACAGUUGAUACCCUCCGAUUAAGAUCCCAACUCUGCAGGCAUUUAUGCAAUGCAUCACAAAUAACCUCUUCUGUAUGGGGGCAUGACACAUACAUAAACCUACAUCAAACAAUGCAAUAAUUCAGCUAAACAGUUCAUAAAAUGUCCUGGACAGCAAGCAAUAAUUUAGCUGGACAUAAUGAACAUAAUUCUACAAUCUGGACAGCAAGCAGAAUUAAGAUAUUCACCUCAAUAUGCAGCUUCUAAGCGUCCAUGAGUCAUCAAUAAAAUGUCCAGUCACUGCCAUAUAGCCUCUCUUUUGAUUUUCAGCUGUCCAAAGGUCAGUUGUGAUAGCAACACGACAGUUUGUCCUUUGCAAGAUUAUCCUUGCUUUCCUUUUCUCUCCCUCAUAGAAACUCACGAUGUCCCUUCUAAUAGUGUUUCUAGUUGCCAUUUUGAACAAAGGUUGUAAUGCACUAACAAAUUAGGUUCCUGAUGUUGGGGGCCACAGCACCCGCUCCUGGCCUGUCGACUUCACCAUCGAUCCCUGGCACCAUCCACAAGUCGGUGAGCAACUGCAAGCGCCAACAUAAUCAUUGUCUCUGCUACUUACAAAGUAUUCAACAAAGCAUGCAGUGCCUAACACAGCAAUGUGCACAGUCCGUUUAUGUAGCACCAUGUAUAUGAUAUAACGUAAAUUUAACUCCAUUUGUGCAGCUCAUAGUGACAUACCCUUGAGCAUGUCGCUGCACCAUAUGAGCCCGUUCUCACCUGUCCUGCUGUCCAGGAGAAGGAAGGUGGUGAGCUCGGAAAAACACUAAAGUUGUUGAGAUCCUUCAGCCAGGUUAUUGGUGCAUGCAAGUUUACUCAGUGCCAUAACAUGUAAAUAACAGAAUAAAUUUCUUAGGUAUUCCCUCCGUUUUAAAUUAUAGAUCAUUUUAGUUUUUUAGAUGCAUAGAUAUUAUUAUGCAUCUAGACAUAGGGUAUAUCUAAGUGUAUAACAAAGCCUAUGAAUCUAAAAAGCCAAAACGACCAUAAUUUGGGAUGGAGGAAGUAGCAGAGAACUACGAUAGAGAGGAGCAUAUUUUCUUAGCAGCUUUGAGUAAUUAAAUUUAGCAGAUGGUACCUUAUAACUGUCAUGGUUCGCAAAGCAUUCUAGCUGCAAUCUUUCACUACAGUACACAGAUCAAUAAGCUUGAUUGUUGAACUUCCAGAUCCUACAAAGUUAUUCUGUGCGGAGGUGUACAUCUAUAUCUUGAGUAUUUGAGAUCAGCCACAUAUUGUUAGCUCCGCAAAAGUGAGCAUAGCUAGGUACAUUGUCACAUUAAUUUUCUUUUCUACUAAUAAGUGUGCAUUAAAUAGUGCGUAAAAGAUCACAACAAUUGUUCCUGUCGCUUAUUCUCAACCGUUUGCAUUUCAAAGAAGUCAAUCUCUGAAUCUACUUGGAGGACAUAUUUACAGGACAACACAAAUUUAGUAUGAGAUGACGAAAAGCUAAUCCAUUCAAGCAUGUUUAUAUGGUUUGAUGACAUAGGAUUAUGUUUCAUGUCAUACGAAAAGCAUGAAGAUAGCACUUAGGAUUGGGGGAAAUUAGAUUAACAACUCCUCAAAGAGUCAAGUCCAUUGAUUUGUUGAUCUUCCUACGCAAAUUGUUCGCUUAAAAUUUACAGAAAAGAUACAGGCCCACUCCUGCCAAGCCUGCCUUUCUAGUCACUUAUAUAUUGCAUAUCAUCCUUCCUAUCAGAGUCCCCCCCUCACUUUUAUUCUUCUCACCUUCUCAAAACUGAGCCGCAGCUUCUGAAUGAAGGUUGAACGUGAAAUUGACCGUGUAUGCUGGAGCCUUUUCUAAUUAGUAUGUGUGUGAUAUAAGCAUGCUAGCGCCCACAACAACGAGAAAAGCCAUCAUAAGUGGUUUUUGUUCCCUUCAUAUAUUUUCUUUUUGGCAUUUCAUGAGUCAGAAUCACAAAUGAUCCCAAACGAAAGAAACCUUUACAGAUGAUUUUUUAGGAAAAUCAUAAAAAAAGGUUUGUAAAGGAAGUUUAAGAACAAGGAUAACCUUUCAAAAAAAUUAUAGAUAAACUUCUCUAAAAAUUCAAAACAUUUUUAAACAUAGUUUUGCAGAUUUUUUUCAAAGAAUUAGGAAAACUUAUGCAAACACAUGUUUUCUAAGACAAAAGUGUUUGACAAAACUUUUUUGAAGAAUCUUUAAAGAGAAUAUUUUAUAGACUUUCAAGAAAAAGGACUAAAAGAGAAAAAUAAUAGAAGAAAAAAAAUCAGGGGGUCAACAGCACUUCCUCCCACCUUGGAACGAGGCACUGCAUGGCACCGCAACUCGUGUUAGCCCUGUUGCAACCGCUUGCGAGCCUUGCAUCGCGGCCUUCGGUGGUUCACUGUGGCCGCUCAUGACUUGCCGCUCGUAGGCUCUCAUAGAACAAUACCAUCCCCCACCCAUACAUUCUAUUUAAGAGGAGGGUAGACCAUAUUUGUUUUCGAAGAACAUGGGGAAGAUCCCCACCUACUAUUUUCCAUUGAUCCAAAGAAUCUGGCUCAUUACAAAAUGUAUAUCCUACCAUACUAGGAUGAGUUUGCAAGGUGCGAAAAAGGAUGAAGAUUACAAACGAGUAUGAAGGUAGUCACGCCAACAACCAGGGUGAGGUUUGUUUCUUUUGUACCCACAGUUCCAGGUGUCCAGAUUGCUGAUCGUUUGGCGGAUAACAUCACAUGAUGAUAGGAAUUUAUGGUCAAAGAUCAAGGCAUUUCGUGCUUUUCAAAUAUGCCAAAGCAGUAGCAGCAUCACAUCCAAGUGGACGCUACGGGAGGGAGAGUUCCUUUCCCACAAUCUGCGGUCUUUUGUGCUCUCUAGGUUGGGGUAGAGGAUUCCGACCAGAGACCACACAUUCUUAGCGCUUGGACAUUGAUGAAUGAAGAUGUGUUCCUUUGUCUCAAGGUCUCUUCGACAUUGUUCGCAGUUGGAUUCCUCAGGUCCCGAAUGUGUUGAUGGUAGAGAUACGCACGACUUUUAGUCGCCCAUGAUGCAGAAGCCAGCCAAAGAAUUUAACCUUUGCCAGUGUCGGUAGGCGUUUGGGUUUUGGAUAUUGUCACAGUUCAUAGCAUCGUAGGCUCCUCUAGAGCUGAAGUUGCAGUUAUGUGUAUUCACGUGUGUUCGCACUGAUCGAUUGGAAGUUUCAAAAGCACCGGUCAUCAUAUCUGACCAUAUAGAAGGCAUGUCAAAAAAUAGUGAUGGUGGUGGGUUUUGCAUGGUAAGACCUGUUGCAGGAUGAACGCUUCAAUUGUUUUUGUCACGAACCAUUUACGAUGACAAAGCUAGUUUCGUGGUUAGCUUCCUCACACUACGCUUUGUGAAAUGCGUUUUAAAAGAGCACGCUUCAUGCGCAGGAUGAGCGAUGAAGGGAAAGCCCAAACUUGGAGUGGCUGGCCAACAAAAAGCAGAGCCGGAGAAUAUGGAAGAAGUCCAUAUUACACUCCUCAUCUCUUCCUGUGGUCUAAAUUUCAACCCCCAACUACAAAUCCGUCUAACUAACCUCCUCAAACUGCGCAAACCAGGCACGCGACCCCGAGCCCGGUUUCGAUGCCCCCCUAUGGCCCUAUCCAUCCCAAGGUGGUUUCUAUGCUAAUUUUAGCUGAUGUGGUUGUGGGACCCACCCCUCUCCCUCCUCUCUCUCAGCUAAUGCACCAGCCCCUAUGCCCUUGUCCCUUCCUCAUCUCUCUCUUCCCUCCCAAUCCAUAGAGUCGUCGCCUCCCUCUCCCCUCCCUGCAGCGUCGCCGCUACCCUUUCCCUCUAGCAGUGCUGCGUGCAAGAUCAAGCCGGAGGUCCGGAGCCACCGCGCGCGAACGCUGCACGGCACUGAGGCGUGAAGCCCCUAGCCCCACAUCGUACGUCGCUUUCAUCCUGUCCAACACUGCGCGCGACCGGCGAAGCCCCAAGCAAGUAGUAAACCAUAGCCCACAGGGCAACGCCGCCGCCAUGUGUUCGCGUGUUCCGAUGCAAAGGGGCCGGCGGCCGGCACGCCAUGGCAAGGCGGUGGCGGACGCAGGCACAUGGGACGCGCUAACUUAGGCCAGUACGAUAGCUAGAAAGGAAUCAAUGGCAAUUGGGGAUUGGUCGUCCACGUACGUGUGCCUGGGUACGGUUGUUACAUUUGCCCAGCGUUGGAUUGGAUUGGGGCCUAGGAGUAGGAGGAGGGGAGAAGAGGAGGAAGAAAGUAAAAUAGAGGAGGAGGAAUAUGUUGCAACAAAACAAAGGAUUGGAUUGGGGGCCUGCAGCUGCUCCUCAGCUGCAACAGGACCCUCCUGAUCGCCGGCUCAGCCCGAGGCCGACGACUACGGCGGCUUGCUACGUAGGCAGCGGGACGCAGCAUGGCUGCGCCCAACUCGCGACGGCAGCCCUACUAGUGGCACAGCUGCGUGAUAGGCAAUGACGGUAGCGUCCGCCCACCCAUGGCGGCGGCGAGUGACAUCAGGAGCAAUGAUGGCGGUCUUUGCCGGUCGUGGGCGACAAACCACCUUGGAUGGAUAGGGGCAUCGAGGCGGAGGGGAGGGCGUAUGUCACGUGCCUGGUUUGCGCAGUUUGAGGGGUCAAUUAGACGGGUUUGUAGUUGAGGUUUGAAAUUUAGAUCAUGGGAAGAGAUGUAAUCUGAACUUCUUGCUAAGAAUAUCCACGCAUCAAGAUCAAGGCUCAAGGUGAGCCCUGACCCGGAGGCGAAAUUUGUUACAGUACGCAUUUUUGCAUUCAAACCCCCGGUGCCCAGACUGUCUCUUGGAUGGUCCUGACUCCUGACAUUGUUGGCAGAGGAGAAAUGCCAAACGAGCCUGUAUGAGAUGGGGUCCUCCUGUACUUGUGCUUUUCUUUUUUCGUUCUUUCUUUUUUUUUUGAUGAAAGUUUAUACUUGUGCUUUUCUUUCCAGGCCUCUUCGCCCGUUUGUCUGGCUGGCUGGUGGUUUGGGCGAGUUCGCGACUUUCACGGUGACGGGCGUGUCGCACCAAUGUGGUGAAUUGACUUUUCUUGUACAGUGCAUAAUUUUAUGAUUGUAUGAAAAGACAUACGCAUCGAGCCAUCGAUGGCCUCGAUAGGUAUAGGUAUUUGGUAUAGAUCACCCUAAGGUCGUACGGUAAUAUAACUUGCCAUGCCACAUUUGCCUAGUAUGUAAAGUGCUAUACCAGCAACCAGGGAUACAAUUCCAAAAUACUGUACUACCAAGGCUAUUGACACUAGAAUCUCGAGUUGUCAGCGGUCAAAAAGAAAUUCAAGAGGUCGGUAAAAAAUUGUGCAAGAUCCGUGCUACUUUCUGACGGAAUUUUUGACCCAGUUUUCAGAAUUUAGUCUUUACGCUGGAGUAUGUAUAAAAUCGCAAAGAUCAUAUCGAAUCACUGAACACCGGCUAGAUUGCAUGCAACGUUACAUUGCCACUCACUUCUUUGAGUUGAGCACCGGAGCGUGCACGGAACGGAAUGUAAACGCGUGGAGCAAUCCUGAGCGUUGUAUCCCGAUCUAACCGUUGGAAGAAAUAUCUCCGCGUGACGCGGUGGAUGCGUGAGGUGCCCCUCUCGUGCUCUCGCUACUAAAAGUUGUGUUCACUUUUUUUAUGUUUUUCUUUUCAAACAAGACUUGCAAAAGCAGGAGGGAGUACAGGCUACAAGCUGUAUACGGCUACACCUACUCCUGCCAAAAGGCCUGGCCGCCUGGCCUGCAGGCUACAGCGCCUGCUCUUCUACCCGUCGCCUUGGCGGACACGAAAGCUCCUCCAACGACCAAUCGGGGUUCGCCGGCUUGUCCUCUCGGCCAGUGUGCCCAGACCGGGCCCAAUUGUCAUUGACCAAGUUUUAAUUUAGGCCGUGUUUAGUUGGGGAAUUUGGGAGGUGCCAAAUUACUGUUACAGCACUGUAGCACACUGUAGCGUUUCGUUUGUAUUUGUGAAUUAUUGUCAAAUAUUGACUAAUUAGGCUCAAAAGAUUCGUCUCGCAAAGUACAACAAAACUGUGCAAUUAGUUUUUAAUUUCAUCUACAUUUAGUACUCCAUGCAUGUACCGCAAGUUUGAUGUGAUGGGGAAUCUUCUUUUUGCAUAGUGUCAAAGUUGGGAGUUGGGAGUAACUAAACAUGGCCUUAGAGGGUAGAAGUGCAUGCCUGAUCUGUCUGGUGAGGGCCCGCAUGACCGUGACCGCCGUGCACACUGCACAGUAGUUUCAAGUUUUACUGUAACAUGGAGCAGUGGAAAUAUUUUACCAGGAACUUUUACAACCUGAGGAGUAAAACUUUUACCGUGCAGUUACUGAAGCCAUACGAAGUACCAGUAUAAAGUAUUCCCUAGUGAAAAAAAAAAGAUGCCAGCCAGACUUCCAGUACGUAGAUUUUACCAUGGGUGCGGCGCGCUGGCUCGGAUGGAAUUCGAUAGCUUGGAACGCAAUGCGCUGUUCCCCCGUUCCAAGUUCCAACGGACCACUCAAUUGUUCAGGAAGUCUAGGAGUCCAACAUUUUACAUUUCAUUCACGGCUUUUCGACUUGAUGGUUACAAAUAAGCAUACUAACAUUUCCGCUAGCAGAUCGUGAAUCGAAGAUUUUUUUACGCACGCAGUAAGCCUAAGCCAUCUCACCUCGUGUGGGCAGUAGCCAGACUGAUCUCCAUCUUCCCCCCGGUAACAACUUUUUACCAAAGACAUGUUGGAGGAGAAAGUCGAGAAGGGGAUGCCUUCUUGGUAGGUCCCACCUGCAUCUCCCAGCUCCCGCAUUUCGCGGCAGAGGCUUGUAGGCCCUACCCACACGUCCGCAAAGCGUGAUCUCUAAUUUUGUCCGUUUUGGACGAAAAGCAUGGGUGAGAGCCCGGAGAAACAUAACAAUCCAACCUACCCUGUCUUUUUAGGAAUUCCAAUAAGCAUGAAAGUACUAUUCUUGGGAGGACUAACUCGUAAAUAAUCUAAAAGGUAGGGCUCAUCUGCAUAAGCCAUUGCACUGCCAGCCGGCACGCCGUCACGCCUUCUUCCAUUACAAAACCUCUUCUCCCCUUCUGGCCAGGAUUACUCCCAACUGCGUUGGAAAAACCCCAAACCACCACCGCCACCGCCAAUCCACCACUACCAAACCACCACCGCCACCACCAAUCCACCACUAUCAUUCCUCUCCCAACUCCGGCCAUGUCCUCGCUACCGCGUGUAGGGCGCGAUGGGGUCAGUGACUCGUCAUCGUCCUCCGACGGGCCUCUACAGCUUCACGUUUACGAGGACGGCGGCGCCCUCCGCAGCUUCAUCGUCGACAUCUCCAACCGUCCUCGCCAUGAGCGGGUCCUGCUCCCUGCCGGCGAGCCGUCUCGCGUUUCCCCCCUCGUCGACUACCUCAGCCGCGGCGUCGGCGAGCCGUCUUCACGCAGUGGACGCCGCCUCCGCGUCGUCUCCGACCGUAGGAGGCCUGCUCCUCGUCAGGCUCGCCAGCCCGCAGUCCGCGCGCCUCCCGCCGUGGUGUGCGUGAACCCCCGCGGGGCCACCCCGCGCCCGGCUGCGUCAUCGUCCUCCGACGGGCUUCUACAGCUUCAAGUUUACGAGGACGGCGGCGCCCUCCGCAGCUUCAUCGGCGACAUCUCCAACCGUCCUCGCCAUGAGCGGGUCCUGCUCCCUGCCGGCGAGCUGUCUCGCGUUUCCCCCCUCGUCGACUACCUCAGCCGCGGCGUCGGCGAGCCGUCUUCACGCAGUGGACGCCGCCUCCGCGUCGUCUCCGACCGUAGGAGGCCUGCUCCUCGUCAGGCUCGCCUGCCCGCAGUCCGCGCGCCUCCCGCCGUGUUGUGCGUGAACCCCCGCGGGGCCACCCCGCGCCCGGCUGCUGCUGAAGACACCAUGGCUUCCAGGGAUGACCUCGUCGGCGUCUACAAGGGUGGCUGCCUUCUGUACCUCACCCACCGCCGUACCUUCAACCAGGCAGACCAUCCAGGCGUUACCCUCUCAUGGCGAGUGGGCACGACCCCUGACGGCGACGACUACGGCGAGAUCGUCAGGCGUGCACGCUCGCACUCAUUGCCCGGCCGCUGCGGAGCGGAGGGCGCCAGCCGACACGGUGUCCAUCGCUCACCCUCAGCUGGUGAGCCACUCAACCUCUACCGUCAACCGGACGGUGCUACGAGUGGUAAUGGUGUGGACUCUGCUAAAGGUACCGUUUACCCCUGUGAUUUCCAUGAUUCUUACAGUUUAAGUAGCCUUACGGGUUUCAACUUUUUGGUGCCAGUGGCAGUUUGAAUCUCUAGCGUUUUAAAAAUGAAUCCUAACAUUUUAGGCCGCAAUCACAAUUACAAUUGUGCGGUUGAGUUUGUAUCAGACAAAUUUGUUGUGUGGUGAGGUCUAUUGCAAAUGUAAUGGGUUCAGAGAGGAGUUCAAGGUUAUGUUGGCAGUUGUAGUACUAAUUUCUUUCAUUUUUUUAGAAAAAAAGGAAACAUCCAAAAAGGGCUUUCAUGCAUAUGCAAGAAAUGUAUGUCCAUACUGCUUUCAUAAAUGGAUUUUUCACCUAUAGAAAACUUUGGUCAAAGUCACUAAUAGCACCAAACAGGAACCAUGUGCAGUUUUUGCUUGCAUUGUAAUACUACAGUGAGCUUUUCUUGUUCAUUUAUUUUAUAAACUUAGAAGUUCAUGUAUUGCAUUUCUUAUGUAGGUAUGCAAAUCUUUGUUCCUAAAAUCAACGACAAGCAAAAGUUCCCUCAGGUUGGUUGCCACUUUCUAAUAUGUGUUAAGGCACUAGGAUGCAUAUUGACAAUAACUAUAUGUCUGGUGGUAAGCUAAUAUUACUCAUUACUUAAUCAGGAUGGAACAGGAGAUAUAGUGGAGUCCUUUGGUAAAUUGAAGCUGUCUGAAGGUACGUCAUACAUGCCUUUGUUUAAGAUAUGGAUGCAUUCAACUGUAACCAUUCAACUUAUGUUUUCAUAUUCGCUUGCUAUCAUAAAUAAAUGUGGAUCUGUGUAAUAUGGUGACUCUGACAUGUUUGUAUAAUUAUUGUAUACCAUGAACAGUAAAGAAAGAAUUACAGAAGAUGGAAAAGAACUUCAUACAUCUCAUAGAGUCAGGUGACAAGGCCAUGGAGAGGCAGCUAGUUGAUGCAAUACAUUCCCUAUCAGACAACCAAGGUAUUACUCGGUAUUCUUAUUUAGUUGUUACAUUAGUUGUUACUGAACAUUAAUGACGACUUAUUAUAUGUAGCUUGGCUGGAAUAUAUGGAGCUGUCUGAUCCAAGUAGUGAAAGUGAUAAUCUUGAAGCUGAUCCAAGUUAUGAACCGGAACCUGCGAUGAUCAGGAACCUGGUGGUGGUGGUACUGGAGCUACGCAAGGUCAUGAUGAUGAUGAUGAUGAUGAAGAUGAAUAUGACGAUGAAGAUGAAGAUGAAGAUGAAUAUGACGAUGAAGAUGAAGAGGAGGAAGAGGAUGACGAUGAAGAUGAUGAAGAGGACGAGGAGGAAGAGGAGGACGAUGAAGACGAUCUUAACUAUGAUCCAGCACAUGAUGAUGAUGAUGAAGAUGAUGAUGAUGACUACAUGAAUGGACUUGCCCAGCUUCCACCACUGCCUCCGGGCACAUAUUACUGGAACGGUAUCACCAUGGUGGACCGUAUUGGUGCCGUACGUGACCUCAACCCUGAAUUCCACAUCCUGGGCUUCGGUUCCAAUCUUACCAUUCAUGAGAGAAUUAGGUUGUGGGCGACUGGAGACACAAUGGGUUUUGAUUUCCAGCCUACUGAGAUGUUAAGGUAUGUUUGGCGGUUAGAGUUGCUGCUGAAUGGGGAGAACCCAGGGAACCUAGCUCACUCUGUGAAUGAGCCUCCUGUUCCUAACCCUGGUGACUAUGAUGAGGGUUGGACAACAGACGAAGAAAUGGUUUUCAGUGACAUGGAAGAGGAAGACUUAGACCUGGAGAAUGGCAGCAAUGAUAUGGAUGAGGACUGAUUAGCUAGCAGCGAGCCUUAGAUGUGAUUUUGAGUUUAAUGUUGCUGGAUUUUAGCUUCCAAGUCAGUUUGCUACUUGAACAUUAUCGCUUCUUUUUUUUCAUCUUUCUGUAUUUUGGCUUCCAACUCAGUCUGGUACUCGAACACUAUUUCUUAUUUUUGUCAUAUUGCUGAUAUUGACCUCAGCCUGAAUAAUCGAGAAUGAAUAUUUCAAAUAUGGUGUAAGGGACACUUCAUUUCAUGUGGUAAUUAUGCCAAACAAUUUAGUAGGUCAUCAGCUUGUUCAAUGGAAUAAAUCCAAGGUUACAAGUUACAACUCCAUGUGCAGUGAGCUAGUGGCUUGUUCAGAUGCUGAUAUGUUGCAGGUGACAUGGCCGAACCUGCUCCUUUCUUGCAUCAGGCCAGGGCGUCCAUGAUAUCUUAAGUAGAGUUGACCACCAAACUCUUCAAGCUGAGAAUGAGACUAUGUGAGCUAUGUAUGACAUUUGCAUUUUAAGUUAGAGCAAAAUAGCUUGAUGCAAAAUGUUUUGCCUUGAUAAUGCUAUGGUCAUAAGCCUCAGAACAGUAAAAAUAUUCACUUGUGCGCAAGGCAACUUGCCCACGGCGUACCUAGGCAUUCCAUUGCCUUGCCCAUAGCUUAACUAGGUAUUUCCAUGGAUUUGAAUGGUGUUCUCCGGAGUCCAACCUCUUGCUCUCCAAUGACCAAUUUUCAAAAGGGAAACAAUAUUUGUACCCAUAGGGAUUACCGAGCUUAGAAUUAGUCAGUGAUCAACCAUGAGAAAUGAUAACUAGCACAAAGGAAAACUAUGGGAAAGUACCUCUUUCUCUUUCUCAAGCUCCUGGAGCUGAGACCAAAAGUUAUUAGGUCUACUUGGGUUGCUGCCACCACCACGUCCUUACCCAACUCCACCGUUCCAGCAACUGUCACCACAAAUUUGAUCGAUUUGGAAUCACAAUAACAAAUUAUCUUAUACUUCACCUGCCCAAGUGUUGGCAUUAUAGUUCUUUCCUGAUUAUGAUAAAUUGGGUACUUCUUUUGUUCAGGACUGGUCUCAGUUCUAUCACUUGCAUAUCUACAGUUUUCUGCAUGGUUUUAUAAAAUUUAUGUAUGGGCCUCCCCUCCCCACAAUGUAGCAGUUUUGUUCCUAGGACAUGAAAACAACAGAUAAAAUGGAGAAUUCAGUUAGUAAGACAAAAGAAAAUGUCAAAACAACACACCCAUUGCAUGUAGAAACAAUUUAGGCACUCCAUGAAGCCUGGCUAUAAUUAGCUACAAAAACACACCAUCCAAAAUGAAUAAGAAUCUGAACUGUGUUAAGCAUAUUUAAUUGCAAAAUAUUGACCGAGUGCAAAAUGGCCCAAAUAUAAUUUGGUCAAUACAAAACAUUCAGUAACCAGGAACGAUGACUUUAGAUUUCAAGAGUAAGUAGCACUUACCAGCUUUCAUAUCUUCGCUUGUUCCUUUUCCCGCUAAACAUAACACGCUCAUCCAAUACACCUACAAUAUGAACGUGUUAUAUCUCUUCUUCACAUGAAAGUACAGCUUGAUCUUUUAUAUCUCUUAUGUAACCUAUAAUUCUUCCUAAGAUUUGCUAGCUAACCAUCAAUCUACAAUCAUUCUUGAUGGUUCUAUGACCCAGGCGAAGGCAUAGAAUCAUGCUUGUGUUCAGCAUCAGCUGCCUGAUGAUCCUGUUGCUCCUAUAUUUCAGCUUGGGUAUGGCUACACCAAUGGUCUGUUCUGCAGAAAGAGGGAAACAGGGAGCAGGUGGGAGUCAGCGACUGAGAGCUUCCUUGUUGUGAUGUCGUCUACUGGUUUAGCUUCCUUGAAUCCUUGUUAUUGUUUAUAUGAUGGUGGAGCUGCCGUAGCCCAUCUUCAGUUUAUCUUCUACUGUCAGAUGCAUGUAGCUGUAGUUUCUAACACAGGACUUGCAGUUUUUAUUAAAAAAAAAAAGUUGAACUGGGAAAUGUGUUUUUGCCGUGCUUAGCCUCCUUUCUAUGUUUGGUAAUGUCUUGUCGAGUUUCUACAUGACUGGUGCUAAAGACGUCACCAGCAGAAUCACCUGACUGUGAUUAAAUUCAGUCACAGUUCUGAGAAAAUCCACCCCCCCAUGACAGUACAAGGAUCACACAUCACGCUAAUGUACUCAAUAACCUUCUCUACCCUAUUUCUCCGCAAUAACUUCAACGGGGAAGCAAUAUUGUCACCUAUAGGGAAUUAACAAAUAAUCAACAGUCAAGCAUGAAACAUGAUAACAAAAAAAUAUUAAUUCUGAGGGUUAGGCGUCACCUGACUUCUGAGCAAAGGCAUUGCAUUUAGCAGGCAAGGCAUCGAGUCAACAUUUAGAAUGAGGCAUCACUCAGACUUUUGAUCAAGGACGUUGCAUCUAGUGUAUGAGGCAUUAAACAGGCAAAGGAUUCACUGACGUUGAGAAAUUAGACAGAAUCUUUGAUUCAUAAAGAAUUCAGACAAAAUCUGAAAGUAAGCAUAACACCACCUUGGAGAGAAUGCACCCGACGUCAAAUCCAGGUCCUGCCGAUGGCGCAUCUCCCUCUUCACUAUCACUGUGGUCGAUCCUGCGGUAUAGCUUCCAUGUACCUCCAUGACCACGUAUCCGCUGACUCCCGCGGCAGCCGCCAAGCACCACCUGACCACCGGGACAGCCAAUAACGACGAGGCCUUCAGCUUCAGCCACCGCCGAGCAUCACGAUAUAGCGGAGGCCUCGACCCUCGGCACCUCGCCCGCAGCCUGCCGCACCUCACCUUGGGAUGCGGAGACGACGCCGCUGUACCGGUGCAUGAGGUAGCGGGCGUCGUAGCCGGUAGCGAGGGAGCGGAGGUCGUCGUGGCGGCGCCGCCAGCGCCCGACGGUAGAGGGACAGGGAUGCGGACGCACCUUGGGUCACGAUUAUUUGGGGGCUUGGGUUGGUGCGAGCCGCGGGGAGCCGAGGACGGGACGCUUGCUUGGUGGCGCCGGGGGGAACUUGAAGCUUGUUCUGUUCUCUGUGCGAGACGGGGAAGGGGGGUGUGGACUGUGGAGUAGAGUAGUCAAACUGGAGGACGGGGACGAAUCCCGUGUGGGCGUUUGGGGGUGCAGAAGAGUCAGCCUUUAUUUUUCUUUUUGCUGCUUCUUUGUUUUUCUUUUCACAUGUUACAGUUAAUUUCUGUGUUCCUCCAACAAAGAGUUAAUUUCCCGCGGAGACCUUUCGAAUGGAUACGGCUGGCCAUCGUCCUGCCAGUGCCAACUUAUACAGCACAAAUUGUGGAGAAAAAACACAUGCAUUAUUUCCCUUCUUACAACGUUUUCUUUCAUUGCGAGCUUGCACGAUCGCGUGCAAGUCCGUCGUCGGGUACGAUUGUUCAAUCACUGUCGUCGGGUACGAUUGUUCAAUCAUUAAAGGUAAUUUGGUUGCUCAAUACAGGAAGAUAUCCAAGGUUCAACUAUAUCAGCCCCUUUAUUCAUGGAGAUGGUCAUCAUUCUCCGAAGACUAGUUUUAGCAAACACUAAUGACAACAAUGACUGACUUUCGUUCAAGUUUAGUAAACACUGGAGCUUCACAAACAGGCAUGGUCAUCCACAGGGUAGUCACAAUAAUGCUCUUUUUUAUUUUCCUUCCUUUUUUACAUAACAUCUCCCCAUGAUCACACGGUUUUGUAAACAGCCAUGGAACCGGAGCAUUUAGCUGCAUCCUUUGCAUAGUCAAGCGAAGUCACAACUCACAAGGCGCACACACAUUAUACGGAUAUUCUUCUUAAUUUAAACCAAUUUUAUUGGAACAAGAAAGAAGCCCUCCAACUCAUUCCAGAAUUAUUUGAGGCGGCCAGCGAAACCCAGCCGUGAGGUCAUCGAGCACCUCAGCCCACUCGCACUCGUGCCACUCUCGGCGGUGUGGGACGAUCUGCAGCGCCCCAAGCUCCUGCUCGUCGUCCCUGACAUGCCCGUCGAGCAGGUGAACACGCCUCAGCAAUGGUGAUCUCUUCAUGAUCAGCCUGACAAAGCUGGUUUGCCAUCCUAGUCCUUCGAAGCCGGCCACGACAAGCUCCUUCAGACGACGGUACCGAUCCUGCCGUGCACCAACGUCCAGACUGGCGCAGAGAUCACCAGCACUUCUCUCUUCUGAGCUGUUGUCAAUCUGCAUUCAGAUUUCAGAACAAGUUGGGUUUGCAAUUAUUUCCAAACACUUAAGCGCACCUGUUUUCAGUAAGUUAAGUGGCCAGGAAACAACAUACAUGAACAUGGAAUGACUCCAAGGCUGGUGUUGCAUCGAGCAGUAGGAGAAUCCAUAGUACAUCCCAGUUCGCCGGGACAUUUGCGAUGAACAGCUUCUUGAGCUGACUGAACUCGCUGAGAACAGCAAAUGGUUCGAUCCACAUCUGCAUACACAAAUAUAUAGACAACGGUUUUUACAUGGCAAUGACAGGUUAACACAACUAGUUUGUAUAAGAGAUGAUUACUCACCUGGGUCCCUUUAAACUGCAGAACAAGGCAAUCUAGUUGCGGGGUCCUUUUGAAGAAUUUGCUCGGUGGAUAUGUCCUCCUGGAACCAGAUUCAUCAUCUAUGUCGUUAUCCUCAGUUUGUAAGUAGUCCAAGCUCACACGCCUGAGCUGAGGCACCUCACCAUAGGAUAACUUGGUAGGGCGACCGCGGCAAACAAAAGUUUCAAGACAAGGUAGCGAGAUCAGACAGAUUUUCCCAAAGUUGCACCUGUCCACUUGUAGAUUCUUUAAUUUUGAUGAUGGGGCAAAGAUAAGAAAUUUAGCUCGGUAAAAACUUGAAGAUGCGACCCUGAAAUCAGUUAGCUGCACACAGUUUGCAAGAAUAUCAUUGACCAAUCCAAUAUAUGAAGCUUCACCCAAUGAGAGUUUGGUGAGCCUCUUUGCUGUCAGGCAGUUCCAUGCACAAAUACCCUGGCAAUUGGACAGCGCAAGCCGCUUGAGCCGCAAGUUCCGGUAUGCAUCCAGCUGCUUGAGGUCAUAGUACAGGCAGUAGCCAUCAACAACAAGCUCAAAAUCCUCAACAUCCCACUUGGCAAUGGCUGUGGUGAUCCAUUCAUCAAUAUUCUGAUGCCAACGCCCUAGCAUUUGGAGUCUCAGCUUCUGGACAGGCCGGCGUUGACG